This 514-nucleotide ribosomal RNA is filed under the name uncultured bacterium. Its description in RNAcentral is "partial 16S ribosomal RNA". It matches the Rfam family "Bacterial small subunit ribosomal RNA", at positions 355 to 857 of the family's 1533-position model. The record is from RNAcentral.
UGGGGAAUAUUGCACAAUGGGCGCAAGCCUGAUGCAGCCAUGCCGCGUGUGUGGAGAAGGCCUUCGGGUUGUAAAGCACUUUCAGCGGGGAGGAAGGUGGUGAGCUUAAUACGCUCAUCAAUUGACGUUACUCGCAGAAGAAGCACCGGCUAACUCCGUGCCAGCAGCCGCGGUAAUACGGAGGGUGCAAGCGUUAAUCGGAAUUACUGGGCGUAAAGCGCACGCAGGCGGUUUGUUAAGUCAGAUGUGAAAUCCCCGGGCUCAACCUGGGAACUGCAUUUGAAACUGGCAAGCUAGAGUCUCGUAGAGGGGGGUAGAAUUCCAGGUGUAGCGGUGAAAUGCGUAGAGAUCUGGAGGAAUACCGGUGGCGAAGGCGGCCCCCCUGGACGAAGACUGACGCUCAGGUGCGAAAAGCGUGGGGAGCAAAACAGGAUUAGAUACCCUGGUAGUCCACGCUGUAAAACGAUGUCGAUUUGGAGGUUGUGCCCUUGAGGCGUGGCUUCCGGAGCUAACG